AGACAACCCGUUGCUGAGCCGGGAGCGCUGACUGGCCCGGCUGGACAGGUCUUGACUCGUCUGCUGGACAAAGCCUCUGACCUCAGGCCGGCUGUGAACGUAGUUCCUGAGAGAUAGCAAACAUGCCCAACAGUGAGCCCGCAUCUCUGCUGGAGCUGUUCAACAGCAUCGCCACACAAGGGGAGCUCGUGAGGUCUCUCAAAGCGGGAAAUGCAUCAAAGGAUGAAAUUGAUUCUGCAGUAAAGAUGUUGGUGUCAUUAAAAAUGAGCUACAAAGCUGCCGCGGGGGAGGAUUACAAGGCUGACUGUCCUCCAGGGAACCCAGCACCUACCAGUAAUCAUGGCCCAGAUGCCACAGAAGCUGAAGAGGAUUUUGUGGACCCAUGGACAGUACAGACAAGCAGUGCAAAAGGCAUAGACUACGAUAAGCUCAUUGAGAUAUGAAUCAGGUUCUUGAUGCCUAUGAAAAUAA
Molecule: small RNA, 471 nt
Filed under: Pan troglodytes (chimpanzee)
Lineage: Eukaryota; Metazoa; Chordata; Mammalia; Primates; Hominidae
Description: processed transcript
Source: RNAcentral